AGUGAACGCUGGCGGCAGGCCUAAUACAUGCAAGUCGAACGGCAGCACAGUGGAGCUUGCUCCAUGGGUGGCGAGUGGCGGACGGGUGAGGAAUACAUGGGAAUCUGCCCAGUCGUGGGGGAUAACGUAGGGAAACUUACGCUAAUACCGCAUGCGCCCUUCGGGGAAAGCCGGGGACCGUAAGGCCUGGCGCGAUUGGAUGAGCCCAUGUCGGAUUAGCUAGUUGGCGGGGUAACGGCCCACCAAGGCGACGAUCCGUAGCUGGUCUGAGAGGAUGAUCAGCCACACUGGAACUGAGACACGGUCCAGACUCCUACGGGAGGCAGCAGUAGGGAAUAUUGGACAAUGGGCGCAAGCCUGAUCCAGCCAUGCCGCGUGAGUGAAGAAGGCCCUCGGGUUGUAAAGCUCUUUUGUCCGGAAAGAAAAGCACUGGGUUAAUACCCCGGUGUCCUGACGGUACCGAAGAAUAAGCACCGGCUAACUUCGUGCCAGCAGCCG
This 498-nucleotide ribosomal RNA is filed under the name uncultured bacterium. RNAcentral describes it as "bacterial SSU rRNA". It matches the Rfam family "Bacterial small subunit ribosomal RNA", at positions 29 to 517 of the family's 1533-position model. The record is from RNAcentral.